UACGUAGGGUGCGAGCGUUAAUCGGAAUUACUGGGCGUAAAGCGCGCGCAGGUGGUCUCUUAAGUCUGAUGUGAAAGCCCACGGCUCAACCGUGGAGGGUCAUUGGAAACUGGGGGACUUGAGUACAGAAGAGGAAAGCGGAAUUCCCCGUGUAGCGGUGAAAUGCGUAGAGAUGUGGAGGAACACCAGUGGCGAAGGCGGCUUUCUGGUCUGUAACUGACGCUGAGGCGCGAAAGCGUGGGGAGCAAACAGG
This 253-nucleotide ribosomal RNA is filed under the name uncultured bacterium. Its description in RNAcentral is "partial 16S ribosomal RNA". It matches the Rfam family "Bacterial small subunit ribosomal RNA", at positions 524 to 776 of the family's 1533-position model. The record is from RNAcentral.